This 2122-nucleotide long non-coding RNA is filed under the name Sus scrofa (pig). RNAcentral's name for it is "lncRNA (ENSSSCG00025008826.1)". Lineage: Eukaryota; Metazoa; Chordata; Mammalia; Artiodactyla; Suidae. The record is from RNAcentral.
ACGUCACAAAGGCGCCGCUCGCCGCUCGCAGAGCGUUCCGCGAGCUGCGGGCCGGGCCCCGGCGGAGCGACGCUCCUCCGGUGCGCGUCGCGCCUCUCCGCCGCCGCCGCUGCCUCUCGGUCGCCAAGGCUCGGGCCGUUGAGGGCGAGUUAACAAGUUACGACCUCGGCCAAAGCCGGACGAGCCCACGCGGGAUCUCGCCUCCACACCCCCGGCCCGUGGGGACCGCGAUGCAGCGAAAGCUCUACGAGCUCGUGGGGGCGAAGGAAGAGUUUGUCAGGGUGAGGAAGAAGGACCUGGAGCGCCUGACCACCGAGGUGAUGCAGAUUCGGGACUUCCUGCCCCGGAUACUCAACGGGGACGUGCUGGAGAGCUUCCAGAAGCUGAAGAUGCUGGAAAAAAGUGAGUCUUCUCCACCUCGAGCCGUCGGUGCCGGGCGGCCGUCUGUCUCCGCAGGUUCGCCUCCUGCGGGUCGCGGCCGCGGUGAGUGAGCCGGGAGCUGCCCUUAGCGUUUUCCCGAUGACGCUGGGGAGACAGACACGGACAGAGAAGCCGGCUCGCCUGUGCGCUUGUGCCGAGGAAGGGGCGCCAGCUCUCAGGGCAUCUGGCAGCAGCUCUUCUUUCUCCCCUUCCUCGUUGGGCAGGAGGUUUUCGUACUUUUACGACUGAAAAGUUCCAGAAAUUAACUCCUUUCUGACGCGAUUAGGGAUCUUGCUGUGUGGCAGCCCUGCGAGGAGGCAGCCGUGUCUGUGGAAACACUCGUGUCUGGGUUGAGGGCGGGUCCGUUUCUAGCGCUGAUUUAAAUUUCAAGGACGUGUCCAUUCGUCCUGAGGUUUGCACUUAGAUGGACACCAGUUGUCAGUCUAGGGCCCUCUGAGUUCUUGAAGUUAUUUGGACGUGGAUUCCGCCCUUUGCCCUGUCGGGGCUGAGUUCCAGCCGAGUCAGCCCUCGGCAGUCAAGGCUAAGUCAGCGCAGGGCGGUGUUUGCCCUCACGGCCUAGCCGCUGGGGGACGGUGUCUCGGGCCCAGGUCGCAUCUUUAGCGCUUGUCCAGACAAGAAGGCGUCUGGACGCCACGUGCGCGUCUGAUUCUCUCGCUGGCGUCCUCAGGUGCACGCGCCGCUGCCCGGGGCUGUGCUCUGCGAGACGGGCUCCUGCGGAUUCUGUGCCUCUUGCUUCCUCUCUGGCUGCCAGUGGGGCUGCCCCAUGGAAGGUAUCAGUGGGUGGAAAGGGUCGGGGGUUUCCUCCCGUUCCCUCUGCAGCUGCAAACAUCCCCCCCAGCCCCGAGGGGGGUUGCCUCCCCAGUCCCAGCUCUCACUGGGCUCCAGGAACACUGUUCCCCUCGUCUGUCAGCUCCAGGGCAGCUGCUAGAACGUGGGUGCCUUCCCUCCGCUCGUUGGGUCUCGUUGGGUGUCUCAGCCCUGCGCUCUCCCCCGUGGGCAGUCUCUCCCGUAAAGUCCACACCUGGGGUGCUCGUUCCCCUUGGGACCCUGCCGAAUGUGCUCUGGUCCUGGUUCCCAUGGCUCCGGGUCGCCGGCAUUUUCAUUUUCUCAGCUCUGAUCUCAGGCCCAUUCAGCAACCUUCUGAGAGCAGUUAGCUAUCCUGUGUACGUUUUUAUUUUUGUUUGGUCACACCCAUGGCAUGUAGAAGUUUCUGGGCCAGGGAUGGAGCCCGAGUCACAGCAGCAACCCAAGCCACUGUGGUGCCCAUGCUGGGUCCUUACCCUGCUGUGCCACAAGGGCACUUCUGCAGUUAUCUUUGGGAAGGGAAAGUGCCGACCAGCAGUGGAGUGUGGCAUCCCGCUGGGUAGUCAUGUUUUUAAUGCAAAGUGAUAAAAACGUUUUGGAAAAUACAUCAGUGUGUCAUGAGUUGGUUAGCACAAGUCAGUUUUUGGAGAUUAGUCUUCUGCCAGAAUCAAACUGAAACAGGGCCCACGAGGAGUUCCCAUCGUGGCACAGCGGAAACGAGUCCGACUAGGAACCGUGAGGUGGGUUCGAUCUCUGGCCUGUGCAGUGGGUUAAGGAUCCUGCGUUGCUGUGGCUGUGGCGUAGGCCGGCGACAACAGCUCCGAUUAGACCCCUAGCCUGGGAACUUCCAUGUGUCUUGGGUGCGGCCCUAAAAGGA